Molecule: unclassified non-coding RNA, 241 nt
Filed under: plant metagenome
Description: partial contains small subunit ribosomal RNA, internal transcribed spacer 1, and 5.8S ribosomal RNA
Source: RNAcentral
UUUCCGUAGGUGAACCUGCGGAAGGAUCAUUAUUGAAUGAAACACUUCUGGCCUUAUUCUGUUUUGCUGGCCCGUUGGGCAAUGUGCACACGGCUCUGGUCACUUGUUUCUUCUGUUCCACCUGUCCCCUGCCUGUAGACACGCUGUGUCUAUGAUAUUUGUUAACACACAACAAUGUUACUUGGCAUGUUAUAUAUAAUAAUAAAAUAUACAACUUUCAACAACGGAUCUCUUGGCUCUC